Molecule: microRNA precursor, 71 nt
Filed under: Mesocricetus auratus (golden hamster)
Lineage: Eukaryota; Metazoa; Chordata; Mammalia; Rodentia; Cricetidae
Description: miRNA (ENSMAUG00000005427.1)
Source: RNAcentral
GGGACUGACUGCUCGGGGACGGCCACGCCCCCGGAGCUCUCGGCCCAGCGCUGGAGGGGCCGGGGGCGGGG